Molecule: ribosomal RNA, 253 nt
Filed under: uncultured bacterium
Lineage: Bacteria
Description: partial 16S ribosomal RNA
Rfam family: Bacterial small subunit ribosomal RNA
Source: RNAcentral
UACGUAGGGCGCAAGCGUUGUCCGGAAUUAUUGGGCGUAAAGAGCUCGUAGGCGGCUUGUCGCGUCGGCUGUGAAAACCUGGGGCUCAACCCCGGGCCUGCAUUCGAUACGGGCUAGCUAGAGUGUGGUAGGGGAGAUCGGAAUUCCUGGUGUAGCGGUGAAAUGCGCAGAUAUCAGGAGGAACACCGGUGGCGAAGGCGGAUCUCUGGGCCAUUACUGACGCUGAGGAGCGAAAGCGUGGGGAGCGAACAGG